Molecule: ribosomal RNA, 1544 nt
Filed under: Danio rerio (zebrafish)
Lineage: Eukaryota; Metazoa; Chordata; Actinopteri; Cypriniformes; Danionidae
Description: eukaryotic LSU rRNA
Rfam family: Eukaryotic large subunit ribosomal RNA
Source: RNAcentral
CCGGCCCGGAGGCCGGCCUCCCACUUAUUCUACACCCCUCCUCGCCACGCCACGCGCACGCCCGCGCACGCGCAGCCCCGGGGCGCUUGGCACCGUGAGUAGGCGGCGGCCCCCCACACCGGAGGGGACGCCAGACCUUCCCCGCAUCACCGGGUGAGUGAGGAAACCAAUGAGAGUAGUGGUAUUUCACCGGCGGCCGGCCCGGAGGCCGGCCUCCCACUUAUUCUACACCCCUCACGUCUCUUCACAGGGCCAGACUAGAGUCAAGCUCAACAGGGGUUUCUUUCCCCGCAAAUGAAGCGCGGGGAAACGGCGGGAGGGACCUAUGACUCUCUUAAGGUCCCCAAAUGCCUCGGUCAUCUAAUUAAUGACGCGCAUGAGGAUCAACGAGAUUCCCCCUCUGUCCUACCUGCCCCUAGCGAAUCCAAGCCAAAGGGAACGGGCUUGGCAGAAUCAGCGGGGAAAGAAGCCCUGUAGAGCUUGACUCUAGUUCUGGCACUGUGAAGAGACAUGAGGGGUUAUAGAAUAAGUGGGAGGCCCUGGGGCCCUCGGGUCCAGCGGGCGCCUCCGGUGAAAUACCACUACUCUUAUCUUUCUCACUUAACCGGUUGGGCAGGGGGGCGACCCCCCGGCGGGCUCCUGCUUCGGGCGUCAAGCGCCGCGGGGCCCAUCGCGGUCCCGGGCGCGACCUGCCCCGGGGACAGUGGCAGGGGGGGAGGUUGACUGGGGCGGUACACCUGUCAAACGGUAACGCAGGUGUCCUAAGGCGAGCUCCGGGCGGACAGAACCGUCCCGGGGAGCAGAAGGGCAAAAGCUCGCUUGAUCUUGAUUUUCAGUAUGAGUACGGACCGCGAAAGCGGGCCCUCACGAUCCUUCUGGCUUUUUGGGUUUUAAGCAGGAGGGUUCAGAAAUUACCACAGGAUAACUGGCUUGUGGCGGCCAAGCGUUCCGAGCGACGUCGCUUUUUGAUCCCUCCGAUGUUGGCGCUUUUCCUAUCAUUGUGGAGGCAGAAUUCACCAAGCGUUGGAUUGUUAACCCACUAUUAGGGAACGUGAGCUGGGUUUAGACCGUCGUGAGACAGGGUUAGUUUAUACCCUACUGAUGUCCGUGUUGGUGGCAUUAGGUAAUCCUGCUCAGUACGAGAGGAACCGCAGGUUCAGACAUUUGGUGCGUGUGCUUGGCUGAGGAAGCCACUGGGUGCGAAGAGGCUCAUCUGUGGGAUUAUGACUGAACGCCUCUAAGUACAGAACCCCGCCUAAAACGUAACGAUACCGCAGCGCCCCGGGGCUUCGAUUGGCCCCUGGAUAGCCGGCCGGGGUUCGGCCCUCGGUCGGUGCGGAGAGCCAGCCGUGACGGCACCGGGGCGAGGCCGAACGAGCUCCGCCCCUAUUCCGCUACUCACCGCAUGUUUGUGGGGAACCCGGUGCUAAAUGACUCGUAGACGACCUGAUUCUGGGUCAGGGUUUCGUGCGUGGCAGAGCAGCUCCAUCGCUGCGAUCCAUUGAAAGUCAGCCCUCGAUCCAAGUUUUGUCGGCCUGAGGUGC